UGAAUUUUGAGCUGAGCUAUCAUUUCCUGUGUAUAAUAUUGCCUGAAAAUUAUUCCCCACUAUUAGAUAAUUGAACAAAGUUAAUGGAAUUUUGGCAUCCACAUCUUCUUUGAUGACAUGGAGUUUAUGAUACUCUUCUUUCCAGGGAUCAAACAAUCUUAUUGCAAGCUUGCUAGAAGAUUUAGCAAAUUGUUCCAAAUUGUCCAAGCUAGAUAUGGAGGGAAACAAGUUAACAGAGAUAUCUGAAAAUCUCUUUUCAUCAUGGACCAUGCUUACUGAAUUCAAUGCAUCAAAAAACUUGUUGAAUGGCAUACCAGACAGCAUUGGAGGCCUUUCACGUCUAAUUCAUCUUGAUCUCCACCAGAACAAUGAGCUCUUUCAUGUUAUUCACAUAUUCUUAGAAGUUAAACAGAUUAAUAUGGAAUUAGAAUGCUUACAUUGGUACCUAGCUAGAACAUUCGGAACCAGUAUAAGCAGAAAUUAAGAGAACAGUUAGAUACUCUGGCAUAUUUGAUCAAAGAAUGAUGCAGACUCGAGCAUGCCACCAAGUGAUGGAUGAAGCAGAAAAGGAGUACAAGAAGUUUUCCGAACGGAUCACUGAAAGCCGUGAGGCAAUGAAGGUUAUUUGAAGCUUGGCAUAGUAAAAUACCUCUACUUGUUGAAGUUGUAAAGUCCUUGCUAGAGGAGCCGAGUUAAGGUGUUCGGAAAGCACCUUCUGAGUUAAUUGUGGUUAUGGCUUCACAUUGUUACUUGGUUGGUUCAUCUGGAGAGUUGUUCAUUGAGUAUCUUGUACGGCACUGUGCUUUAACUGAUAAUAAUCGUGGUGAUCUUGUCAUCCUGAAAAGAGAGUGGAGGAAAAAUUUCUCCCCAAUCCUUGCUUCUCAAUAAACAAGUGCCACUUGUGUACAAUGAUAAGACCAUGAUUGAAACCAAAAUUUACUUUCUUAAAUGCCAUCUUAGCUUGGUGAUGAUCAUGCCAGAAACUUAUAUUGUUGUGCCAUGAUUCAAUUUAUAAAAGG
This is an RNA transcript of Arachis duranensis, 1019 nucleotides long. RefSeq lists it as uncharacterized. The record is from RefSeq and is a predicted model, not a curated record. Lineage: Eukaryota; Viridiplantae; Streptophyta; Magnoliopsida; Fabales; Fabaceae. The transcript is spliced from 6 exons.